Long non-coding RNA from Heterocephalus glaber (naked mole-rat), 3149 nucleotides. Lineage: Eukaryota; Metazoa; Chordata; Mammalia; Rodentia; Bathyergidae. The record is from Ensembl.
CUACACAGCGGCUGCAUAGCUUCCUCCACGUUCACUCAGCCUCCACAUGGACUCAAGGGCAGAAAGCAAAAGCACUCCCCUCCCCAAAUGCUGAUAAAUAUGGUCUAUCUGCGGUAUUAAUGAUUUUUUCAAUUCACAAAUCAGUUGUCUUUUCCGGGUACCAUUGGAGAAAUUUAACUAUGAAGCUCAUGAGGGAUGGCAAAGUCUGAGCACCCUGGAUGGCGCUGUGCACGCGGAGGGUGAAGUUGUGGUCCCUGCUUCUCAGCAUUCUGGUGAAUCGGUUAUGCAGUGCUUUUCUAGGAAGUGGCUCUGAAUCCGCAUGCACCUCUACACUUCUGUGAAAUGGUAGAGAUGCUUCACUUGUGAGAGGAAGACUGAGGUCUCCAGUUUAAAACCUUUAGUGAGUACUGGGAAUUGAACCCAGGGCUUUUACACUGAGCUACAUCACCAGCCCUUUGCAUCUUGAGACAGAAUCUUGUGAAGUCUCUAAUUGCCCAGGCUGGAUUUGAACUUGCAGUCCUCUUGCCUCAGCCUACAAUGCCAUGCAUGGUUUCAUAAGUGUUGUUAGAAAGCUACAUUCCCCAAAAAGCCUACGAUUUUUAUAACUCCUCCCCACCUUCUAGCAGACUUAAUACAAGUUUAUCCCAAUAUGUAUAAGUCUUGCAAACAGGACAUUCAACCAGUCUGUGCAUCAGUCACUCCCUGGAACACCCGGAGACCUGUCUUCCUCGCGCUCCAUGGCAGGUUCUGGGGAUGGGGCUGACAGUGGACACUCACUGGCACACCAGCCAGUGCCUACAUCACUGGAGUCCCACAUUGUGACUGUCGCCCUGGGCCAGGAGGCCGCUGUUACCCCAGGUGCAUGACCCUGGCAGACAGUGCUUCAACCCUGAGGCCCAGCUCCAGCCCUUCCUCCCCUGCUGCUUCUCCAGCCUUCCUGUUCCAUGGCCGGGCAGCUUGUCCUCUUCUCCACUGAGUCCAGUCUCUGCAUGAAGCAGAUCUUAAGCACAGCAUUUUCAUCUUUCUGUUCAUCACCCUGGAAUGGGUGCAGAUUCCCCAGUGCCUGAGCAAGAUGACUUCAGGGACUUUCUAGGCAAGACCGUGCCUUUUCCUUCUGAGAGAAAUAAAAUGAGCCGAAUCAUGAACACCCAAGGCAAGGCUUUUAUCAAAGGACAGAGCUAUCGGGCUGUCUGGAACAACGUCAAGAGCGGCAACCUGGGGCUGGCUGGGUGAGGUUUAUAAGGACUGGGGGUAGUGUGGUAGAGGCAGAUGAUUGGCUACGACUCGGGGUGAGGUGGGGAAAAAGCAGGUCUUUGUUCUCUCUGGAGUGACUCAUUUCCUGUAGGCAGGGCCAUUUUAGGAUGCAGGGUUGUUGGGACCAUUUUAUCUAGCAGAGAACUCUAUCACCUUCCACGGUUCCUCGUCCUCUAGCGUCCUGUGUUGGGUUUUCCCAGAAGACAACUUUAAGAGGAGGAUUUGAGUCCAAGGGAUUUAUUUUGGGGGUGAAGUGAGUGGUUUCCCCCAUGAGCACCUGCAUGACCACACAGCAUCUCUGAAUUACCCCAUGCAGGGAAGGUGAGCGAGCAUGGGGGUUCCCCUCCAUUCCCUGGGGUCAUCAGGUGGAGCUGCGGUGGCAUGGCCAGCUGCCAGGGCAUGCCUGUCAUGGUGAGCAGCAAAGCUGUCGUCUUGGUGACUUUGGAAGCCUCGGGAGGAAGCACUCAGGUCAGCAAUGGGCUUCCUAGGGUCCUUAUGCUUGGCUCACGACUUGCAGUUAGAGCCCCACAGGAGAUGCUGACAGCCCCUAGCCCCUCCUCCAGGCACAGGGGCGUCUGCAGAGGUCUUACUCACUGCUUCGCUCUUUACCAAUUCCAGAAUUACAGUUGAUUAUCCUCUGUUUGGUGAGCCUGCUCUCAUCUGAAAGACCAUGAACUAGGUGCUAUGGUGGCAAUCAGCCAAGGGUUCUUUUGCUCAAUUCAUAUGGAAAUUAUGACUUGGCAAAGUGCAGUUCUGCUGGCAGCCCUGAUUUCACCAGAUGCCAACAGGUGAUGCAGCCAGCUGCUGCCAGCUAUCACCUUCCAGCACCAGCUUAGGCUGGACACUGUAAAUGAGCUCUAAUGGGUGCUGGUCACUGCCACUGCCGGCCACCACCUGGUCUCUGCUGCUGGUCUCUGGAGCUCUUUGGUAUCAACAGCUCUUCGUGUUUCUUCUCUUUCUUUGGAAAUGACCGCUGUGUCUGUGCUACUCAGGGUACAAGUCCCAAGUGGAUUUACAGGACUUCUGGAGCCCACACUACCCAAGAAAUAAAUCGUGAACAGGUUUACAGGACCUCCAAGGUGAGUCAUUAUUUUAACAGGGCUUAUGCUUCAAAGUCAGGUGUGGAAGAUGUGAAAGGGCUGUUUGCGUGCUGGAAGCCAGCAGAUGAGCUCCAAGGUGAGGGUGGAGAAUGGAGCUGCCUUGAAGAAGUAAGGCUUCCUUCUUUGUUCCUUUCUUUACUCCGUUGUUGUUGUUCGGGACACAGCCUGUUGGUAGGGGCCACUCACACCCAAGGCGGGUCUUCUGUCUUCAGUAAAUCCUUUCAGCCACACCCAGAGCUACGCUAAUCAUUAGCGGUGCAUUUCUUACUCCAGUUGAAACAAGGGCUAUCGCACUCUCCUAGACCAAAACCCAAGAAGUCCCUGGGAAGUGCUACUUACAAAGCAGCUUGCAGGCCUGUGUCCGUGAGGGAGAAUGCUGGGUGUACAAAUAAGGGCCCCAGAUCCCUCUCUCUCUUCCUGAUCUUUGUCGCUCCAGGGUGCCCUCUCUUCAAAUCUGCAGCAGCGUGGGCUGAAGGGGGUGCCACAUUGCCUGUCUGGCUGCACUCCUGCUGGAGUGAAGAGCGCAGUUUGAUAGCGGGGAGGGGGACGCACUAGAUGGCCUGGGGGGACACUGAAGCAAACUGCCCCAGGCAGUUAGGGUGCAAGGAGGGGCAAAGGGAAGUGAGGGGGAGGGGCAGACAGCUGGUGGCCACCCAACCCCCCCAUCACAGGGCAAAAUGAGAGUAAGGUGCUUUGUGGCUGUCUGGCGGUGAAGAAACGAGCACACAACACUCCUGCCCUUGAGAGUCACGGACUCUGCUGGGGAAUGCCAGUAUGCGCCAUUAUUCUUUCUAG